AAAACUUGGACUUGGAGCUCUCUCAUUUGAGCCCACAAAGCCAUGAAAAUCAGGUUAUAAAAGAGGGAGAUCAGAUAGAAAAAGGAAGGGAAGCAAAAAUACUCUGAGGUUUCCUUGAAACAAAACCCUGGACAAAACCUGGAGAGAAACUUGACAGAGAACUCAGAGCAACCCCCAGGCAGCUCUGAAAAAUUCAAUCUGACUCACAC
This 209-nucleotide long non-coding RNA is filed under the name Lathyrus oleraceus (garden pea). RNAcentral's name for it is "Pisum sativum (pea) long non-coding RNA (PSAT_LNC040137)". Lineage: Eukaryota; Viridiplantae; Streptophyta; Magnoliopsida; Fabales; Fabaceae. The record is from RNAcentral.